GGAUAAAUGAUGAUUCCCAGUAAAACAUUAUUUGGAAAGCUGAACAAAAUGAGUGAAUACUCAAUACCGCAACUCUCUUCGAACCUUAGGUCC
This is a small nucleolar RNA of Apodemus sylvaticus (European woodmouse), 93 nucleotides long. RefSeq annotates it as small nucleolar RNA SNORD116. Lineage: Eukaryota; Metazoa; Chordata; Mammalia; Rodentia; Muridae. The transcript has a single exon. The record is from RefSeq and is a predicted model, not a curated record.